GGAAGGGAGGGUGGGCAGCCAGCACCCUCCUUAUUUAUAGGAGCCGAAUGCCAAAAAUCAGGAGAAAUCUCAAACACUCUUGUGAGUGUUGGCCGCAUAUAUUAAACCAGGGGUAGGCAACUGAAGGAAAUAAAAGUUAUUCUUUUAAUAAUUGUAGAAAUGUAAUGCCAUUAUAUGAAACUGUCUCUUUAGUACAAAUGUAACACUGUAACACAAAUGUAACAAUGCAAUGUCAAUAUAUGACCAAAUGUUUACUAUUUCCUGCCUAAAAAUCCUCCGGACACCGGGAACUUACAUCAAAGAGGGGGAUUUUGACCCAAGGUGAGAAUUACAAAUAAACAAGAUAACAGCAGAUGGACAGAAGAGGUCAGGUUAACAAAGUACAACUUCAGAGUACCUCUAUAAAGAUGAAAGAGCUGCUUAGAUGUGACAUGCAUUGUCGGGGUAUAAAAUGCAGAUCUUGAAACCAGGCCAGUGUGCUCCUGGAAUCCAAUCCAUAGGGAAGGAUCCAGGGGGCCACGUUUGCAAAUGGUCCUCUCUUCUAUUCUUUUUCUUUUCUCUUUUAUUCUGUUUAUGUUAUUCUCCAAUAAACUUUUGUUUUGUUAACCAGACUUGUCUUUGUAUUGUGAGUAUCAAAAUUUGGGGGUUUUGCAUCUCACAAUCUUGGUGGAGAAUGCGGGCAUUAAGAGCUUCUAGGGGACACUGUUCUCAGUAAAAUCAGGAGCGCGCCUGUUGAUUUCAACUGCCUGGGGUUAUCUGAGAUCUAGUUUCCCUUUGCAGGCUCUGAGCCAAACUAAAUUGACAACUCUGGUUUACAAAAAUCAAAGGACAGGAAAUAGGAAGAAAGUCAACAACUGAAGCCCAGACCGGGUAACCCAGUGCACUGGCCCAGGUAAGGAACUUUUGCCCCGAAGGAGGGAAGCAUGCAAUUGUACCUGGGUGGUCAGGAGAGUGAUUGUGGGAGGGUUUCUGCGAUAAGGGCUGUGUGAGUGUGAUGGGCUGUGUUCUGGGAAGACUGGUAAGUCCAGAGGAGUGUAGACCUGAAAGGUUGAGAUCUCUUACUCCCGCAAGGGGGAAGGCCAGCGUGAAGGGAAGCAAACUGGUGUUAAGAGUUUUGAGUGGCCGUCAAAUCGAGAACCUCAGGGAACCAUAAUCAGGGAAACUCUCAAGAAGAUGGGUUGUUGUUAACCAAAGGAAAACCAAGACCUCCCGCAUGUGCUGAUUUUGUGGGUAUCUUUGUGGGUGUUGUUGCUGCUCUCACUGUAUUAAUUGUGUUCAGUGCACAGGGUAUGAGAUAGAGUGUGAUAUUAAGGCUUAGAAGAUGUAUUGGAACAUUACAAGGUGGUAUGUCUGGGGGAGGGGUUUUCUUAUUAUACUCUUAAAACCUGUCCAACCAUUAGAGUCAUGUAAGUAAUGUGUAAAAAUGACAAAGGGAGAAGGAGAAAAUAUACACUGACUCCAAGUAUGUUUAUGGAGUCUUGAAUACUGGUGGAAGAAGAAAAGAAAGAAGUUAUGCUAGAGUGGCAGAAGGGAAGGAAGGAAUGAAUAAUAAAGAAACAGGAAAGUUGUUUUAAGUUGGUUUGCACAGACUUGUGAAUUGCAUGCAUUAAGCAGGGAGACUGCCAUUAACGUGGUCAGCCCAAACGUGUGAAUUGUAUGCCUUAACACAAGCCUUAGAAUGUUGAAGGAAGAAGAAUGUACUAAAGAUGGGAGGUGGAUGUUGCAAGAUGGGAGAGGGAUGUUGAAAAGAAAAAAGAAAAAAACAACAACAAUGGCUAGAACACAGAAGCAGCCACUGAAGGGGGGUCGCAAGGGAUGAUUAAUAUUUUCUAAAACAGGAUGGUUGUAUUUAUACUUUAGUUAAACAAAUAUGUGAAAAAAUU
Long non-coding RNA from Crotalus tigris (Tiger rattlesnake), 1883 nucleotides. RefSeq lists it as uncharacterized. NCBI's taxonomy places the organism in Eukaryota, Metazoa, Chordata, Lepidosauria, Squamata, Viperidae. The transcript has 2 exons. The record is from RefSeq and is a predicted model, not a curated record.